RNAcentral lists this ribosomal RNA (253 nucleotides) under uncultured bacterium. Its description in RNAcentral is "partial 16S ribosomal RNA". It matches the Rfam family "Bacterial small subunit ribosomal RNA", at positions 524 to 776 of the family's 1533-position model. The record is from RNAcentral.
UACGUAGGGGGCAAGCGUUAUCCGGAUUUACUGGGUGUAAAGGGAGCGUAUACGGCUGUGCAAGCCAGAUGUGAAAGCCCGGGGCUCAACCCCGGGACUGCAUUUGGAACUGCGUGGCUUGAGUGUCGGAGAGGCAGGCGGAAUUCCUAGUGUAGCGGUGAAAUGCGUAGAUAUUAGGAGGAACACCAGUGGCGAAGGCGGCCUGCUGGACGAUGACUGACGUUGAGGCUCGAAGGCGUGGGGAGCAAACAGG